GUUUUGGCAACUGCCGCAGCAUGGUUCUGGACGAAAUCUUGUUUUAUUUGUGUUUAGUGUUCUAUGUACUGUUGGCAAUGUUGCCGUUUGUACUGGUGUAUAAGUUAAAUUUUUAAAGAGCAUUAUUCCGUCUCUUGUCAAGAGACAUCCUCCCUGAUUCUGUAUACAAAAUCUUAAUCCUAUAACAAAAUCUGAUCCUAUAUUUAAAUCUCG
RNAcentral lists this long non-coding RNA (213 nucleotides) under Capsicum annuum. Its description in RNAcentral is "long non-coding RNA (CANN_LNC011119)". Lineage: Eukaryota; Viridiplantae; Streptophyta; Magnoliopsida; Solanales; Solanaceae. The record is from RNAcentral.